AAAAGACCAGACGUCCCUCUCGUCCCUCUCCUGGCAGGAGUUGGGAGGGGAUUGGUUUGAAGAAGGAGUCGAGGUUUUAAGGUGCCUGUCACGUCCUCAACUGCGUUCUCCCAGCAGCUCGUCCUGCCAGUUUUCGCCUCACGAUCCCUAAACGUAUUUCCCGGAGAAUCCAGCCUGGCUUGGACUCAAAGGGAACGGGGAAAGGGCUAAGGCGUCCAUGGCCCAAGUCUCCAUGCAGGCAGAUGUUUACAAAUACUGCCAGUUCACUGAUUUGACCUACCCAGAGAUUUGCAAAGAUCUUCACUACGUAGCGGAAUCCUAGCUGGCCUUACUUGUCGUCAAACCAACGUUAUUUGGGAACACAGCAACAACAACACUACAACUUAAACAGGAAUCAUAUACAGGAGCAGAAUGCUGUGGUUUGAAGGAGAAAGGCUCCCCACAGGCGCGGGUGUUUGAACACUUGGUCCCCAGUUGGUGGCACUGGCUGGGGUGGGGAUUAUGGAAACUUUAGGAGAUAUGGCCUUGCUGGAGGAAGUAUGCGACUGGGAGAGGCUUUUGGUGUUUAUUCCUUUACCCCACAUCAUUUCUCUUUUUCUGCUUCCUGCGUGAGGGUAAGAUGGGAUCUCUUGGUUUCCUGCCUCUACUGCCAUAUCGUAUUCCCCACCGUUAUUGACAUCCAAGUCUCUGGAACCCUAAGCCAAAAU
Microtus oregoni (creeping vole) is the source of this 707-nucleotide long non-coding RNA. RefSeq lists it as uncharacterized. Lineage: Eukaryota; Metazoa; Chordata; Mammalia; Rodentia; Cricetidae. The transcript has 3 exons. The record is from RefSeq and is a predicted model, not a curated record.